Molecule: ribosomal RNA, 945 nt
Filed under: Bacillus sp. (in: firmicutes)
Lineage: Bacteria; Bacillati; Bacillota; Bacilli; Caryophanales; Bacillaceae
Description: bacterial SSU rRNA
Rfam family: Bacterial small subunit ribosomal RNA
Source: RNAcentral
GGGCGUACGCUGGCGGCGUGGCUAAUACAUGCAAGUCGAGCGGACAGAAGGGAGCUUGCUCCCGGAUGUUAGCGGCGGACGGGUGAGUAACACGUGGGUAACCUGCCUGUAAGACUGGGAUAACUCCGGGAAACCGGAGCUAAUACCGGAUAGUUCCUUGAACCGCAUGGUUCAAGGAUGAAAGACGGUUUCGGCUGUCACUUACAGAUGGACCCGCGGCGCAUUAGCUAGUUGGUGGGGUAAUGGCUCACCAAGGCGACGAUGCGUAGCCGACCUGAGAGGGUGAUCGGCCACACUGGGACUGAGACACGGCCAGACUCCUACGGGAGGCAGCAGUAGGGAAUCUUCCGCAAUGGACGAAAGUCUGACGGAGCAACGCCGCGUGAGUGAUGAAGGUUUUCGGAUCGUAAAGCUCUGUUGUUAGGGAAGAACAAGUGCGAGAGUAACUGCUCGCACCUUGACGGUACCUAACCAGAAAGCCACGGCUAACUACGUGCCAGCAGCCGCGGUAAUACGUAGGUGGCAAGCGUUGUCCGGAAUUAUUGGGCGUAAAGGGCUCGCAGGCGGUUUCUUAAGUCUGAUGUGAAAGCCCCCGGCUCAACCGGGGAGGGUCAUGGAAACUGGGAAACUUGAGUGCAGAAGAGGAGAGUGGAAUUCCACGUGUAGCGGUGAAAUGCGUAGAGAUGUGGAGGAACACCAGUGGCGAAGGCGACUCUCUGGUCUGUAACUGACGCUGAGGAGCGAAAGCGUGGGGAGCGAACAGGAUUAGAUACCCUGGUAGUCCACGCCGUAAACGAUGAGUGCUAAGUGUUAGGGGGUUCCGCCCCUUAGUGCUGCAGCUAACGCAUUAAGCACUCCGCCUGGGGAGUACGGUCGCAGACUGAAACUCAAAGGAAUUGACGGGGCCCGCACAAGCGGUGGGAGCAUGUGGUUUAAUUCGAAGCC